Lotus japonicus is the source of this 718-nucleotide long non-coding RNA. RefSeq lists it as uncharacterized. The transcript has 4 exons. The record is from RefSeq and is a predicted model, not a curated record. Lineage: Eukaryota; Viridiplantae; Streptophyta; Magnoliopsida; Fabales; Fabaceae.
UAUACCAGAUUUCAUUCUUUGGUGUUGGCGAAAGCGGACGUGAUUUUCGCCCAACCGAGCAUCCAUUCAAGAUCAACUUUGAUAUUCAGACUUCUGUACGAUUGCUUCCUAACAAGGCUAUCAACAUAACACCGUACUCUUUCGUUCCACUUGGUGACAUAAUGUAUAAGGACCUUGAUACAUCAUUCCUUAUAGGUAUUAACUCUUCUAUAGCCUCUUGAUUUUUUAAAAAAUUGUUAAUAAUUUUCCUUACAUUUUUUUUUCUGUAUUUCACGAGAUGUAAUUGGAAUUCUCACAGGAGCAAGUGGAGAACAAGAGUUCGAAAAAGAUGGUACUAAACAGAAGAGGAUAACUAUUGAACUUGACCAAGAUGGGGUUCGGGUUGAAUGUGCUUUUUUCGGAAAAUAUGCUUCUGAAGUUGUUGGUUAUCUUUCCUCUAUUGAUGCAACCAAUGUUGUCGUGGUUGUGCAGUGUUGUAAGAUCAAGCCAUUUAAAUGUAAGACUAGCAUGAAAAAUGUUUAUGGUGCUAUUAGGGUUCUUUUUAAUCCUCUAAUUCAAGAAGCUGCCCCUCUCCGUGCUCGGUUCUUUGAGUCAAAUGAUCUUGCAACACAAAUUAUUAGUCCACUUCAAGACUCUGCAAAAAAAUCAUCCCUUGAAGAAGAUUUUUCUGAAAAAGAGUGAUGGGAAAACUAUCGAGCAACUCAAAGAUCUUGCUGAA